ACGAACGCUGGCGGCGUGCUUAACACCUGCCAGUCGAACGGAAAGGCCCUGCUUUUGUGGGGUGCUCGAGUGGCGAACGGGUGAGUAACCCGUGAGUAACCUGCCCUUGACUUUGGGAUAACUUCAGGAAACUGGGGCUAAUACCGGAUAGGAGCUCCUGCUGCCUGGUUGGGGUUGGAAAGUUUCGGCGGUUGGGGAUGGACUCGCGGCUUAUCAGCUUGUUGGUGGGGUAGUGGCUUACCAAGGCUUUGACGGGUAGCCGGCCUGAGAGGGUGACCGGCCACAUUGGGACUGAGAUACGGCCCAGACUCCUACGGGAGGCAGCAGUGGGGAAUAUUGCACAAUGGGCGGAAGCCUGAUGCAGCAACGCCGCGUGCGGGAUGACGGCCUUCGGGUUGUAAACCGCUUUCGCCUGUGACGAAGCGUGAGUGACGGUAAUGGGUAAAGAAGCACCGGCUAACUACGUG
RNAcentral lists this ribosomal RNA (467 nucleotides) under uncultured bacterium. RNAcentral describes it as "partial 16S ribosomal RNA". It matches the Rfam family "Bacterial small subunit ribosomal RNA", at positions 29 to 507 of the family's 1533-position model. The record is from RNAcentral.